This 253-nucleotide ribosomal RNA is filed under the name uncultured bacterium. RNAcentral describes it as "partial 16S ribosomal RNA". It matches the Rfam family "Bacterial small subunit ribosomal RNA", at positions 524 to 776 of the family's 1533-position model. The record is from RNAcentral.
UACGUAGGGACCAAGCGUUGUUCGGAUUUACUGGGCGUAAAGGGCGCGUAGGCGGCGUGGUACGUCAGUUGUGAAAUCUCUGAGCUUAACUCAGAACGGCCAAGUGAUACUGCUGUGCUAGAGUGCAGAAGGGGCAAUCGGAAUUCUUGGUGUAGCGGUGAAAUGCGUAGAUAUCAAGAGGAACACCUGAGGUGAAGACGGGUUGCUGGGCUGACACUGACGCUGAUGCGCGAAAGCUAGGGGAGCAAACGGG